This 434-nucleotide ribosomal RNA is filed under the name uncultured bacterium. RNAcentral describes it as "partial 16S ribosomal RNA". It matches the Rfam family "Bacterial small subunit ribosomal RNA", at positions 29 to 507 of the family's 1533-position model. The record is from RNAcentral.
AGCGAACGCUGGCGGCAGGCCUAACACAUGCAAGUCGAACGAACCUUUCGGGGUUAGUGGCGGACGGGUGAGUAACACGUGGGAACGUGCCUUUAGGUUCGGAAUAACUCAGGGAAACUUGUGCUAAUACCGAAUGUGCCCUUCGGGGGAAAGAUUAAUCGCCUUUAGAGCGGCCCGCGUCUGAUUAGCUAGUUGGUUGAGGUAAUGGCUCACCAAGGCGACGAUCAGUAGCUGGUCUGAGAGGAUGAUCAGCCACAUUGGGACUGAGACACGGCCCAAACUCGUACGGGAGGCAGCAGUGGGGAAUCUUGCGCAAUGGGCGAAAGCCUGACGCAGCCAUGCCGCGUGAAUGAUGAAGGUCUUAGGAUUGUAAAAUUCUUUCACCGGGGACGAUAAUGACGGUACCCGGAGAAGAAGCCCCGGCUAACUUCGUG